Molecule: ribosomal RNA, 1349 nt
Filed under: uncultured bacterium
Lineage: Bacteria
Description: bacterial SSU rRNA
Rfam family: Bacterial small subunit ribosomal RNA
Source: RNAcentral
GAUGAACGCUAGCUACAGGCUUAACACAUCCAAUUCGAGGGGCAGCAUGAACUUAGCUUGCUAAGUUUGAUGGCGACCGGCGCACGGGUGCGUAACGCGUAUCCUUACCUUCCCGUUACUCAGGGAUAGCCUUCCGAAAGGGAGAUUAAUACCUGAUGGUGUUCUAAUUCCGCAUGACAUUUGAACUAAAGAUUCAUCGGUAACGGAUGGGGAUGCGUUCCAUUAGCUUGUUGGCGGGGUAACGGCCCACCAAGGCAACGAUGGAUAGGGGUUCUGAGAGGAAGGUCCCCCACACUGGAACUGAGACACGGUCCAGACUCCUACGGGAGGCAGCAGUGAGGAAUAUUGGUCAAUGGUCGAAGGACUGAACCAGCCAUGCCGCGUGAAGGCGACGGCCCUAUGGGUCUUAAACUUCUUUUGUAAGGGAGCAAUAAGGUUCACGUGUGGACCGAUGAGAGUACCUUACGAAUAAGCAUCGGCUAACUCCGUGCCAGCAGCCGCGGUAAUACGGGGGAUGCAAGCGUUAUCCGGAUUUAUUGGGUUUAAAGGGUGCGUAGGCGGUCUGGUAAAUCAGCGGUGAAAUUUAGGGGCUCAACCUCUUCCGUGCCGUUGAUACGUUCAGACUUGAAUGCGGAUACCGUGGGAGGAAUGUGGGGUGUAGCGGGGAAAUGCAUAGAUAUCACACAGAACACCGAUUGCGAAGGCAUCUCACGAAUCCGCGAUUGACGCUGAGGCACGAAAGCGUGGGGAUCAAACAGGAUUAGAUACCCUGGUAGUCCACGCUGUAAACGAUGAUGACUAACCGUCGGCGAUACACAGUCGGUGGCCAAGCGAAAGCGAUAAGUCAUCCACCUGGGGAGUACGACCGCAAGGUUGAAACUCAAAGGAAUUGACGGGGGCCCGCACAAGCAGUGGAGUAUGUGGUUUAAUUCGAAGCAACGCGAAGAACCUUACCAGGGCUUGACAUAUACAGGAAUAUGCUAGAGAUAGCAUAGCACUUCGGAGUCUGUAUACAGGUGGUGCAUGGUUGUCGUCAGCUCGUGUCGUGAGGUGUCGGCUUAAGUGCCAUAACGAGCGCAACCCUUGCCAUUAGUUACUAACAGUUUAUGCUGAGGACUCUAAUGGGACUGCCAUCGUAAGAUGUGAGGAAGGUGGGGAUGACGUCAAAUCAGCACGGCCCUUACGUCCGGGGCUACACACGUGUUACAAUGGGAGGUACAGAAGGCCGCUACCCGGCGACGGGAUGCCAAUCCCCAAAACCUCUCUCAGUUCGGAUUGGAGUCUGCAACCCGACUCCAUGAAGCUGGAUUCAAUAGUAAUCGCGCAUCAGCCACGGCGCGGUGAAUACG